UACAGAGGGUGCAAGCGUUGUUCGGAAUUAUUGGGCGUAAAGCGCGUGUAGGCGGCUUUGCAAGUCGGGUGUGAAAGCCCUCAGCUCAACUGAGGAAGUGCGCCCGAAACUGCAGAGCUUGAGUACCGGAGAGGAUGGCGGAAUUCCCGAAGUAGAGGUGAAAUUCGUAGAUAUCGGGAGGAACACCUGUGGCGAAGGCGGCCCCCUGGGCCGGCCCUGACACUGAGACGCGAAGGCGUGGGGAGCGAACGGG
RNAcentral lists this ribosomal RNA (253 nucleotides) under uncultured bacterium. Its description in RNAcentral is "partial 16S ribosomal RNA". It matches the Rfam family "Bacterial small subunit ribosomal RNA", at positions 524 to 776 of the family's 1533-position model. The record is from RNAcentral.